Molecule: long non-coding RNA, 1556 nt
Filed under: Apis dorsata (giant honeybee)
Lineage: Eukaryota; Metazoa; Arthropoda; Insecta; Hymenoptera; Apidae
Description: uncharacterized LOC102677599, transcript variant X2
Source: RNAcentral
CUUUAAUUUUAUUUGUAUCGAGAUUUAACUGACCCAAUUAGCCUCUAAUGAAACUGAAGACGAGUGGAUGCGGGUGAAUGCGCGCGCGCAUGCUUGCAGGAUAUCCGCGGAUGCAGGAGGCAGCCGGCUGGGAGGAUGACGGCGAGCGCGCAAGAGCGAGAAGUCGGUAACUUAACUGGCCUAAAUGGGUUUAACUCGAUGUGAUUUUGCUGGCGAACCACUAAAUUGAACGAAUACGAACUAAACUGAACUCAACUAAGCUAAUCAUAUCACAUUACUAGCGUUAUUAGCCGAGAGACGAUAUAAGUGAAGGUCCGGUGGUACCAGGCUGCAGUAACGGGUCGCCUCCUGCACUGACCCUCUGUACGACUUUCUUUUCGACCUCUUUUUCUCGAUCUUCUCUCAUGAUCUUCGUGUCUUGUAUUUAUUCGAUCUUUGAAUUACGGAAAUGUGUUUACGAUCAAGUUUUAUUACAGUCGAUUCCAAAACAACUUUUAGGUUAGUUCUUAUGAAAGUUGGAUGUAAGUUGAAGUUUCUUGAAGGAAAUAGACAAUUCUUGAUGCACACGAGGUCUGGGAAACGAUGUUGGCCGAUCCUGGCCGAACAGAAACGCUAUCAUGGUCGUGAAACAGGAAACACGUGCUCUGAGUGAAAGUGACAGAUCACCGCGCGCCAAAUUCGAAAUAAAGAUCAAAGAAUCAUAUACGAUUUUCGAUUUAUAGUGUCAUUCGUGAGAGUAAAAUGUAACAUUUUAAAAAAUGUGCGAUGGAAAGAAUUUUUUCUUAUUGAGAAUUCUAUAUAGUGAAAUAUAUGGUGAAUAAGUGAUAUAGUUUAUCUUCAAAAGGAAUUUGAUUUGUUUUUCUGAUCUGGAUACAACCACGUGGGUUCAAUGUAUGCAACAGGUGUAUUUGAUCCGCGUGAGACACCUGUGGAAUAGAUAUAUAGAUUAAAAGAGAAGGUGCAAGUGAAAAAUUAAAAGAAAAGAGAAAAAUGAAAUGAUUGAAGAUUAUUCAUAUCAAUCUUUUAUAUAAUAAUAAACAAGAGAUUUAAGAUUACUUUAAACAGUUAUUAAAAAGAAUUAUAAAGUAAGAAAUUAGUCAAGAGAAUAAAAUUAAUGAUGUAAAGUGAUAUGUAAAGAAUGUAGAAUUAUAUAUAAUUAAAUUAAGUGGUUGAAGAGGGUAAGAUUUGAGAAUUGAAGGGUGAAGAACGAGCUAAAUUAGAUUAUUAAUAAAUGGGAUGAAGAUAUUAUAAAGGGUCGAAUUUGAAAGUUAAGGGGAAUGAAAUAUAUACUGUAGGAAAUUGAUUAGAUUAUUAAUUAUAAGAUUUAAAAAGAUUCGGAAAUCGUGAUUCAAAAGAGAAAAUGUAACAUCGCAGCCCGAUGACGUCGCAUCCUUAUUAACCCGACGUAGUCACAUCCGUCGUCAUCCCGUUCUGUAUUCACGUGCAGGGUGUUUCUCGUAAUGAUAUCUUCAUUUAUGUAUUGAAACUAUUCUAUAAAAUUCUAUUAAAUUAUAUAUUUCAUAUUAAAAUUUUCUAUAUAAUGAUAUAAUAUAAUA